UAGGGAAUCUUCCGCAAUGGGCGAAAGCCUGACGGAGCAACGCCGCGUGAGUGAUGAAGGUCUUCGGAUCGUAAAACUCUGUUAUUAGGGAAGAACAAAUGUGUAAGUAACUAUGCACGUCUUGACGGUACCUAAUCAGAAAGCCACGGCUAACUACGUGCCAGCAGCCGCGGUAAUACGUAGGUGGCAAGCGUUAUCCGGACUUAUUGGGCGUAAAGCGCGCGUAGGCGGUUUUUUAAGUCUGAUGUGAAAGCCCACGGCUCAACCGUGGAGGGUCAUUGGAAACUGGAAAACUUGAGUGCAGAAGAGGAAAGUGGAAUUCCAUGUGUAGCGGUGAAAUGCGCAGAGAUAUGGAGGAACACCAGUGGCGAAGGCGACUUUCUGGUCUGUAACUGACGCUGAUGUGCGAAAGCGUGGGGAUCAAACAGG
RNAcentral lists this ribosomal RNA (429 nucleotides) under Actinomycetes bacterium. RNAcentral describes it as "Actinobacteria bacterium partial 16S ribosomal RNA". It matches the Rfam family "Bacterial small subunit ribosomal RNA", at positions 355 to 776 of the family's 1533-position model. The record is from RNAcentral. Lineage: Bacteria; Bacillati; Actinomycetota; Actinomycetes.